GUCUGCUUAACACAUGCAAGUCGACCGCAACGUCGUAAUUGAGUGGCGGACGGGUGAGUAACGCGUGAGAAUCUGCCUUGGGGUCGGGGACAACCACUGGAAACGGUGGCUAGUACCGGAUAAGCCUUUGGGUAAAAAAUUUAUUGCCCCAAGAGGAGCUCGCGUCUGAUUAGCUAGUUGGUGAGGUAAAAGCUCACCAAGGCAGCGAUCAGUAGCUGGUCUGAGAGGACGAUCAGCCACACUGGGACUGAGACACGGCCCAGACUCCUACGGGAGGCAGCAGUGGGGAAUUUUCCGCAAUGGGCGAAAGCCUGAUGGAGCAAGACCGCGUGAGGGAGGAAGGCUCUUGGGUUGUAAACCUCUUUUCUCAGGGAAGAAGCUCUGACGGUACCUGAGGAAUCAGCCUCGGCUAACUCCGUGCCAGCAGCCGCGGUAAUACGGAGGAGGCAAGCGUUAUCCGGAAUUAUUGGGCGUAAAGCGUCCGCAGGUGGCGAUUCAAGUCUGCUGUCAAAGCACGGGGCUUAACUCCGUUAAGGCAGUGGAAACUGAAUAGCUAGAGUGCCGUAGGGGUAGAGGGAAUUCCCGGUGUAGCGGUGAAAUGCGUAGAGAUCGGGAAGAACAUCGGUGGCGAAAGCGCUCUACUGGACGGCAACUGACACUCAGGGACGAAAGCUAGGGGAGCGAAUGGGAUUAGAUACCCCAGUAGUCCUAGCUGUAAACGAUGGAUACUAGGUGUAGCUUGUAUCGACCCGAGCUGUGCCGAAGCUA
RNAcentral lists this ribosomal RNA (768 nucleotides) under uncultured organism. RNAcentral's name for it is "bacterial SSU rRNA". It matches the Rfam family "Bacterial small subunit ribosomal RNA", at positions 42 to 854 of the family's 1533-position model. The record is from RNAcentral.